GAUGAACGCUAGCGGCAGGCUUAAUACAUGCAAGUCAAGGGGGUAGCAAUACAACCAGCGCACGGGUGAGUAACGCGCACACAACAUACCAUAUACUGGGGUAUAGCUUUGGGAAACUGAAGGUAAUCCCCCAUAACAUUGCGAGAGGGCAUCUGAUUGCAAUUAAAGUUUCGGCGGUAUAUGAUUGGUGUGCGUUUGAUUAGCUAGUUGGUAGGGUAACGGCCUACCAAGGCGACGAUCAAUAGCUGGCGUGAGAGCGCGACCAGCCACACUGGAACUGAGACACGGUCCAGACUCCUACGGGAGGCAGCAGUGGGGAAUAUUGCGCAAUGGGCGAAAGCCUGACGCAGCCACGCCGCGUGAGUGAUGAAGGCCUUCGGGUCGGUAAAACUACUGUCGGGAGGGACGAAGGGGCGAACCCUCGACGGUACCUCGCAAGAAAGCACCGGCUAACUCUGUGCCAGCAGCCGCGGUAAU
Molecule: ribosomal RNA, 477 nt
Filed under: uncultured bacterium
Lineage: Bacteria
Description: bacterial SSU rRNA
Rfam family: Bacterial small subunit ribosomal RNA
Source: RNAcentral